RNAcentral lists this ribosomal RNA (484 nucleotides) under uncultured bacterium. RNAcentral describes it as "partial 16S ribosomal RNA". It matches the Rfam family "Bacterial small subunit ribosomal RNA", at positions 30 to 507 of the family's 1533-position model. The record is from RNAcentral.
AUUGAACGCUGGCGGCAGGCCUAACACAUGCAAGUCGAGCGGAUGAAGGGAGCUUGCUCCUGGAUUCAGCGGCGGACGGGUGAGUAAUGCCUAGGAAUCUGCCUGGUAGUGGGGGAUAACGUCCGGAAACGGGCGCUAAUACCGCAUACGUCCUGAGGGAGAAAGUGGGGGAUCUUCGGACCUCACGCUAUUAGAUGAGCCUAGGUCGGAUUAGCUAGUUGGUGGGGUAAAGGCCUACCAAGGCGACGAUCCGUAACUGGUCUGAGAGGAUGAUCAGUCACACUGGAACUGAAACACGGUCCAGACUCCUACGGGAGGCAGCAGUGGGGAAUAUUGGACAAUGGGCGAAAGCCUGAUCCAGCCAUGCCGCGUGUGUGAAGAAGGUCUUCGGAUUGUAAAGCACUUUAAGUUGGGAGGAAGGGCAGUAAGUUAAUACCUUGCUGUUUUGACGUUACCAACAGAAUAAGCACCGGCUAACUUCGUG